This is a long non-coding RNA of Daphnia pulicaria, 1624 nucleotides long. RefSeq lists it as uncharacterized. The record is from RefSeq and is a predicted model, not a curated record. The transcript is spliced from 7 exons. Lineage: Eukaryota; Metazoa; Arthropoda; Branchiopoda; Diplostraca; Daphniidae.
ACUGGUCUGGUCGAGUCUGUCCCUGAGCCUCUGCCUGUACGGUUGUCCCACAAUGUCGUCUCUGUGAAAUCGAAAUAGUUUUCUUGUUCGUUUAUUCCGUCAGUUAUUUACAAUUUUGUUUGUGUGCUGCUGGACUACUACAGGCGUUUCCUGAAUGAUUGCAGCUAUCCUGGUUUUAUUUUUGCUUUGUUAUUUAAAUGUAUUGAAUGAACGAAGGUGCGUGACUCAUCGUUUCGUUGAUUUUCCCGCCAUGUUGAGUUGGCUUCAAAAUGGCAAGAAGAAAGUCGAAUGAAUCCGGCUCGGUGACAACACGUCAAGACGUCAAGUCAGUUUCUUGAAAGACGGAUCAACCCUGCGUUUUUGUUUUCAUUUUCUGGAUGUGGAACUUUUAGAGCGCAAUGAUUUGCAGCCGGAAGUUGCAAUGGACCUUUUCGUGAGGAUAAAGUGGAACGUACCCACGUCUCAGGAUGUCGUUUACAUUUCACUACACACCGUGCUACUACACAUCUACAAUAACAGCUAAACUAUGAGUCUAGAAGUAGUUUGGUCUAAGGAGUUGGCAGCCAUCAAACGGAUUCCGUCGCCCGCCUCACCUGCUGCCUCACCGGUGAUGCCCAUCAGCCAAACUGCCGAAGUUGUUCCGGUCGUCGUCCCCGAACCGGUGGCUGCUCCGCGUUCCGUCGUUCCGGUUGUUGUUGCUGCUGCCCAACAACAAUCCGAGCCCAUGAAAUCGUCGCCGGUAACGGCGAGGAAACCCAAAGACAAUCCGGCCGUCAGCACUGCGCCUCUUCCGGCUAAAAGGUUGUCCCAUUUAGCCAUACCUUCGGCCCUUCCUAGGAAAUCCAUUCGCCCGGAAGAAAAGGUGGAAGAAGUGAUGAAACCGAAAGAAGAGGAAACGCCCAUCGCCAUCGAACCCCCGGUAGUCCAGCCACCAAUCCAGCCGCCAAUCUAGCCGCCAAUCUAGCCGCCAAUCUAGCCGCCAAUACAGCCACUAAUGCAGCCGGAAGAAACAGCUGAAGUUGUCGCCAGUGCUGUUCCAUCAGUCCAACAGCCGAAUGCUGCUGUUUCAACACCGGAAGUUAGCAUCCGGACGAAGCGGAGGAGCGUAAAAGUCACCAGUUCCGGCCUGCCAGCAGACGACGUUGACCUUUCAGAAAAAGUCAUCCGCCAAUUCCGAUGGGAAUAAGAACCCGAGGCGGAUCGGAGUUGCAUCGUCGACGACACUUUCAGGAUAUUGGAACUAUUAGAGCGCAAUGAUUUGCAGCCAGAAGUAGCAAUGGACCUUUUCAUGAGGAUAAAGUGGAACGUUUCCAGCCCAAGAUGUCGUUUGUGCAACUUCACAUCUACAGCGAAAGGGUGAUUUUAUUUACCAUGGGGCCUGUUAGAUCGUUGGACCAUACGAAAUGGACAAUUUUUGGCGGAAAUUUGAUCUCACGGAAUUAACAACCCUCACCGUCUUUUUGGAUCAGAUUCAGGGUCGUAUAUUUUCUUGGUGACGUCAUCUUUGUUUGGCGACUGCUGCAGAACAAUGUACUGCCCGUUCUUCUCAAGGGACCACCACGUCGUUUCUGAAAAAGGCGUUCUGAUCCACGUUUCGAAAACGACGAAAGCGUGAAUCGUGACG